Long non-coding RNA from Protopterus annectens (West African lungfish), 195 nucleotides. RefSeq lists it as uncharacterized. The record is from RefSeq and is a predicted model, not a curated record. The transcript is spliced from 3 exons. NCBI's taxonomy places the organism in Eukaryota, Metazoa, Chordata, Ceratodontiformes, Protopteridae.
CAGUUUUCUAAAAAGGAAAAGAACUAUGUGUUACUCCAUUUCUGACGAUGGGGAGGAGUAUGAAGAAUCCAACAGUUUUCUAAAAAGGAAAAGAACUAUGUGUUACUCCAUUUCUGACGAUGAGGAGGAGUAUGAAGAAUCCAACAGCAUCAUUUUUAAAGUGAAGAAGCCGUUAAGGACAUACUCCAGGUAUUU